AACGAACGCUGGCGGCAUGCCUAACACAUGCAAGUCGAACGAGACCUUCGGGUCUAGUGGCGCACGGGUGCGUAACGCGUGGGAACCUGCCCUUAGGUUCGGAAUAACUCCCCGAAAGGGGUGCUAAUACCGGAUAAUGUCUUCGGACCAAAGAUUGAUCGCCUUUGGAUGGGCCCGCGUUGGAUUAGCUAGUUGGUAGUGUAAAAGCCUACCAAGGCGACGAUCCAUAGCUGGUCUGAGAGGAUGAUCAGCCACACUGGGACUGAGACACGGCCCAGACUCCUACGGGAGGCAGCAGUGGGGAAUAUUGGACAAUGGGCGAAAGCCUGAUCCAGCAAUGCCGCGUGAGUGAUGAAGGCCUUAGGGUUGUAAAGCUCUUUUACCCGGGAUGAUAAUGACAGUACCGGGAGAAUAAGCACCGGCUAACUCCGUG
Molecule: ribosomal RNA, 433 nt
Filed under: uncultured bacterium
Lineage: Bacteria
Description: partial 16S ribosomal RNA
Rfam family: Bacterial small subunit ribosomal RNA
Source: RNAcentral